GGAGAGGUCUGCCAGUGCUUACACAGCCCAGUGAUACAUCCAACCUCCCCCAGGAAACCUGUGAACCCAACACCCAACACUUCUCUCAGGGUAGGUAAAGAGGAGUCUGCUGCUCUGCUCUGUCAUCUGUGGCCAGGACUGGAUUUCCUCCGUGUAGAGACUGGAUUGUGUCCUUAGCUUCACUGGGAAAGAAAAGUGUUCUGAACAGAGGCUGAAGACAUGCUUUGAUGACCUUAGAAAUCCUCUCUCCUCAUGGAUAUCAUGCUAAGCUGGCACAGCACAAGCUGAAUACACCUUUCCCCACAACUUCUGAUCCAGACUGCGCCGGUGUGAUCCUUUCUCCUCUGGCCUGAUACCCAAAUCCUGGUGUGGUGACAGGAGGUUAUCUUCCUUCGGCUUCGGAUGGGAUAAAAGCCAGACAAACAGAGAAAAACAGCAACAUACAGGACUACAGCAAUUUCUACCUAUGCUUCUUACUGUUCUUAUUGACCAUGAAGUACUGCAAUGUAUCAACACUGUUCUCAGCUGGGAAGAAACCCGUAGUACUGUUUUUUGUCUGAGUAAAUGACCUAGGGGACUUUGGGGUAAAUGAAAUGGUUAGUCUUGAUAUUUAUGCAAAGGGUGAAUAGCGCUCAUUAAGAGGUUGUUAAGUAAGAGCAAGCCUGGCAGGAAAGAAGGCUGAAACCAUGAAAAGCCCAGUGUUUUGGUCCAGACUCCCCUACUUUGCUGUCCAGGUGAGCAGUCUGUUCUGAGAACCUCACAGCUAUGUUCCGGCCCACAACUUGAUCUUUCCUCUCAUGGAAUCCAGGUAUGCAGACCUCUUGACUUUCCUGUUGUGGUGCAUGACACGCCACGUGCCGGUUUACGAGAUGCAAUAACUUUCCUUGAAGACCGCCUGCUUUGGAUCCCACGUGAAAAUACCAUUAAGCCUUCAGAGAAUGGGUUUGGGGACGGCAAUCGAUUUGGGACCAGUUUAUGGCUGUUGCAGAGCUCUGAAAGGCCCGUUGCACCCCCCUGCUCUGACUGAAAAGGCAAGGCUGAGGGAAAUUCUAUCUGUGUCAUUCCUUCUUU
Molecule: long non-coding RNA, 1071 nt
Filed under: Corvus moneduloides (New Caledonian crow)
Lineage: Eukaryota; Metazoa; Chordata; Aves; Passeriformes; Corvidae
Description: lncRNA (ENSCMUG00000018378.1)
Source: RNAcentral